RNAcentral lists this ribosomal RNA (774 nucleotides) under uncultured cyanobacterium. Its description in RNAcentral is "bacterial SSU rRNA". It matches the Rfam family "Bacterial small subunit ribosomal RNA", at positions 51 to 867 of the family's 1533-position model. Lineage: Bacteria; Bacillati; Cyanobacteriota. The record is from RNAcentral.
ACACAUGCAAGUCGAACGGGAAUCUUCGGAUUCUAGUGGCGGACGGGUGAGUAACGCGUAAGAAUCUAACUUCAGGACGGGGACAACAGUUGGAAACGACUGCUAAUACCCGAUGUGCCGCAAGGUGAAACCUAAUUGGCCUGGAGAAGAGCUUGCGUCUGAUUAGCUAGUUGGUGGGGUAAAGGCCUACCAAGGCGACGAUCAGUAGCUGGUCUGAGAGGAUGAGCAGCCACACUGGGACUGAGACACGGCCCAGACUCCUACGGGAGGCAGCAGUGGGGAAUUUUCCGCAAUGGGCGAAAGCCUGACGGAGCAACGCCGCGUGGGGGAGGAAGGUCUUUGGAUUGUAAACCUCUUUUCUCAAGGAAGAAGUUCUGACGGUACUUGAGGAAUCAGCCUCGGCUAACUCCGUGCCAGCAGCCGCGGUAAUACGGGGGAGGCAAGCGUUAUCCGGAAUUAUUGGGCGUAAAGCGUCCGCAGGUGGUCAGCCAAGUCUGCCGUCAAAUCAGGUUGCUUAACGACCUAAAGGCGGUGGAAACUGGCAGACUAGAGAGCAGUAGGGGUAGCAGGAAUUCCCAGUGUAGCGGUGAAAUGCGUAGAGAUUGGGAAGAACAUCGGUGGCGAAAGCGUGCUACUGGGCUGUAUCUGACACUCAGGGACGAAAGCUAGGGGAGCGAAAGGGAUUAGAUACCCCUGUAGUCCUAGCCGUAAACGAUGGAUACUAGGCGUGGCUUGUAUCGACCCGAGCCGUGCCGAAGCUAACGCGUUAAGUAU